This 225-nucleotide long non-coding RNA is filed under the name Elaeis guineensis (African oil palm). Its description in RNAcentral is "long non-coding RNA (EGUI_LNC047745)". Lineage: Eukaryota; Viridiplantae; Streptophyta; Magnoliopsida; Arecales; Arecaceae. The record is from RNAcentral.
AUCUAUCAGUGACACCUAGUAGUAUGUAGUGUUAAUCCAGCAGAGUAGAAGUAUUGAACCUCUAGGUGCAGUUAUUAUGUGAUUCAGUCCUUCUAUCAUGAGUUUCAAAUAGACAGAGGUUAUGAAAAACUUAUCAAAUUCUAAUAUCAAUCAUAUGCCAAAUUGGCUCGACUCGAGUUCAUUAUGAAUCUCGUGAAAAUUUCUUUCUAGUAUUCACACUUACUU